AGGAGCCGAAUAUUAAUGGUAAGUACCAAAGUUGAUCGAUCAAAUCUAUACUCAAGUCAUAAAAUUCAUCGUAACAUAAGAACUAUGUCUAAAAUAUUAACAAAUACAAUAAAAUAGCUUUUUUUUUUUUUCAGGUGUAGCGAAUUGUAGAUCUAUUUUUGUGAAUAUCAAUAAUAGAUUGUAUUGUUCGUGUUCGGAUAGGUCAGCCUUGACUUUAUUAUAUGUGUUAUUUUUUUAAAACGAUCUUGUAGAGUUGAUUAUUAUGCACGAGAAUAAUGGGCAUUGCAAUGGUCCAAUUUUUUAAAGGCAGACGUGAUUUUGAAGUGGGGUUCGAUGGCAACUGUUGGGGCCACUUGGACCAGAGUCCAUAAUGUCAAGCCCACCGCAAAAUCAUGCACCCAAUUGGGCCUUUAAAGGCUUUGUCGUUGCUUCGUCGCCCUGUUCCUUGAGUUUAAUGGGUCUGGCCCAAUAAACAACAAGUAUAGUUUGGGCCUAUUAAAUCCAGUUGGAAUUUUUCAUUGUAUAAAUUUGAUUAUUAAUAAUUAAUUUUUUAAUAACAAAUUUUUAAUUACAAAUAUAGCAAAAAUCUAUUCGUGAUAAUAUUACGUUGUUGUUAAACUUUUGUGGUUUGUUAGUAAUAGACCAAUAUUUGUGCAUGGUCUAUGAUGAAUUUUAUUAUAUUUGCAAUUUUGUUCAAAA
Molecule: long non-coding RNA, 699 nt
Filed under: Cucumis sativus (cucumber)
Lineage: Eukaryota; Viridiplantae; Streptophyta; Magnoliopsida; Cucurbitales; Cucurbitaceae
Description: long non-coding RNA (CSAT_LNC001331)
Source: RNAcentral